CUAAGGCUCCAGAGGAAGCCACGGCUAACUCUGUGCCAGCAGCCGCGGUAAUACAGAGGCGGCGAGCGUUGUUCGGAAUUAUUGGGCGUAAAGAGCACGUAGGCGGCCUUGCAAGUCAGUUGUGAAAGCCUUCCGCUUAACGGAAGAAUGCCUGCUGAUACUACAGGGCUUGAGUACGGGAGGGGAGAGUGGAACUUCUGGUGGAGCGGUGAAAUGCGUAGAUAUCAGAAGGAACGCCGGCGGCGAAAGCGACUCUCUGGCCCGAACCUGACGCUGAGUGUGCGAAAGCUAGGGGGGCAAACGGGAUUAGAUACCCCGGUAGUCCUAGCCGUAAA
RNAcentral lists this ribosomal RNA (335 nucleotides) under uncultured Planctomycetales bacterium. Its description in RNAcentral is "bacterial SSU rRNA". It matches the Rfam family "Bacterial small subunit ribosomal RNA", at positions 473 to 806 of the family's 1533-position model. Lineage: Bacteria; Pseudomonadati; Planctomycetota; Planctomycetia; Planctomycetales. The record is from RNAcentral.